This 449-nucleotide ribosomal RNA is filed under the name uncultured bacterium. RNAcentral describes it as "partial 16S ribosomal RNA". It matches the Rfam family "Bacterial small subunit ribosomal RNA", at positions 29 to 523 of the family's 1533-position model. The record is from RNAcentral.
AACGAACGCUGGCGGCAUGCCUAACACAUGCAAGUCGAACGAAGCCUUCGGGCUUAGUGGCGCACGGGUGCGUAACGCGUGGGAAUCUGCCCUUGGGUUCGGAAUAACAGUUAGAAAUGACUGCUAAUACCGGAUGAUGUCUUCGGACCAAAGAUUUAUCGCCCAAGGAUGAGCCCGCGUAGGAUUAGGUAGUUGGUGGGGUAAUGGCCCACCAAGCCGACGAUCCUUAGCUGGUCUGAGAGGAUGAUCAGCCACACUGGGACUGAGACACGGCCCAGACUCCUACGGGAGGCAGCAGUGGGUAAUAUUGGACAAUGGGCGAAAGCCUGAUUCAGCAAUGCCGCGUAAGUGAUGAAGGCCUUAGGGUUGUAAAGCUCUUUUACCAGGGAUGAUAAUGACAGUACCUGGAGAAUAAGCUCCGGCUAACUACGUGCCAGCAGCCGCCGUAA